This 306-nucleotide ribosomal RNA is filed under the name uncultured bacterium. RNAcentral describes it as "bacterial SSU rRNA". It matches the Rfam family "Bacterial small subunit ribosomal RNA", at positions 29 to 361 of the family's 1533-position model. The record is from RNAcentral.
AACGAACGCUGGCGGCAGGCCUAACACAUGCAAGUCGAGCGGACCCUUCGGGGUUAGCGGCGGACGGGUUAGUAACGCGUGGGAACGUGCCCAAAGGUACGGAAUAGCCUCGGGAAACUGAGGGUAAUACCGUAUGUGCCCCUCGGGGGAAAGGAUUUAUCGCCUUUGGAUCGCCGCGUUGGAUUAGGUAGUUGGUGGGGUAAGUGGCCUACCAAGCCGACGAUCCAUAGCUGGUUUGAGAGGAUGAUCAGCAACACUGGGACGUGAGACACGGCCCAGACUCCUACGGGAGGCAGCAGUGGGGAA